RNAcentral lists this ribosomal RNA (380 nucleotides) under uncultured eukaryote. RNAcentral describes it as "partial 18S ribosomal RNA". It matches the Rfam family "Eukaryotic small subunit ribosomal RNA", at positions 592 to 976 of the family's 1831-position model. The record is from RNAcentral.
CAAUAGCGUAUAUUAAAGUUGUUGCAGUUAAAAAGCUCGUAGUUGGAUUUGUGGCGUACGGUGUGUUCCGGGCACUUGUUGUCUGAGUAACCUGCUGUUGCCAUCCUUGGGUGGAACCUGUGUGGCAUUAGGUUGUCGUGCAGGGGAUGCCCAUCAUUUACUGUGAAAAAAUUAGAGUGUUCAAAGCAGGCUUAUGCCGUUGAAUAUAUUAGCAUGGAAUAAUGAGAUAGGACUUUUUUGCUAUUUUGUUGGUUUGCGCAAAGAGGUAAUGAUUAAUAGGGACGGUUGGGGGUAUUCGUAUUCCAUUGUCAGAGGUGAAAUUCUUGGAUUUUUGGAAGACGAACUACUGCGAAGGCAUUUACCAAGGAUGUUUUCAUUAA